Molecule: ribosomal RNA, 208 nt
Filed under: uncultured bacterium
Lineage: Bacteria
Description: partial 16S ribosomal RNA
Rfam family: Bacterial small subunit ribosomal RNA
Source: RNAcentral
CUCGUAGGCGGCCAACUAAGUCGGAUGUGAAAUCCCCAGGCUUAACCUGGGAACUGCAUCCGAUACUGGAUGGCUUGAAUUCGGGAGAGGGAUGCAGAAUUCCAGGUGUAGCGGUGAAAUGCGUAGAUAUCUGGAGGAAUACCGGUGGCGAAGGCGGCAUCCUGGACCGACAUUGACGCUGAUGAGCGAAAGCCAGGGGAGCAAACGG